UGUCCGUCUUUCCCUCCAUGCCUACACACAAACGUUAACGUGUCCCAACGUUUGUCCCCCGCGCAGAUCCGUACGUGAAGAUCCACCUGAUGCAGAACGGCAAGCGUCUGAAGAAGAAGAAGACCCACCAUCAAGAAGAACACGCUGAACCCCUACUACAACGAGUCCUUCAGCUUUGAGGUCCCCUUCGAGCAGAUUCAGAAAGUGCAAAUCGUGGUCACCGUUCUGGACUAUGACAAGAUCGGCAAAAACGAUGCCAUCGGCAAGGUCUUCGUGGGCCUCAACAGCUCGGGCACGGAGCUCCGCCAUUGGUCCGACAUGCUGGCCAACCCGCGGAGACCCAUCGCCCAGUGGCACGUGCUGAAGGUGGAGGAAGAGGUCGACGCCCAGCUCUCCACCAAGAAAUAGGCAGCCGAGGGCCCCCACCUUUACUCUGAGUGGACCCCCCCCCCUGCACCGCCCCCCGAAAAGAAAAAUCUUUGCCCAAAACUCUGCACACUCCUCCUCCUAUUUUAGCCAGUAUGUGUAAAUACUUCACUGAAUAUACAUAUAUAUAUAUAUAUAUAAAUAUAUAUGUAUACAUAUAGGUUUACUUAACAUCCCCCUAGACACAAACCAACACACACACACACACACACAUGCACACAGACAACCAGAACGAUAACACACUCUGAGCGAGGCCCAGCCCCCACUGUGUGUAUUCUAUGUCUCUUUUUAUCGGCCCCUAUUCAAAUGACUCCCCACACACAAAGUCCUUGCGAUCUUUUCCCCACUGUCCCUAACUUUCUGUCCUUUUCGGUCUGGUUUAGCUUGUGCUCCCCUCCACACGACACUUUCGUUCUAGCGAUCAGGCGAUCCUCUCUUUCAAUCAUUGUGUUGCCCAAGGCCACGCCCCCUUAUCCCCUGCCCCGCCCCCUCAAACCAAAUGCCCUCUCCUUUUAAGCAAUAUGAUGUGUAUAGAAAACGCAUGACUGAAAGAGUUAAUUAAUUGUACCACAGUUGUAUAUAUAUAUAUGUACGCAGACAAAAACUACAUUUUUUGUUUAUGUGUUUGUAUGUUGUUAACCCAUUUCCUAAUCUGUGUAUAUCUAGAUGUUUUUAAUAAGAUGUUCUAUUUUAAAUGAUGUAAAUGCAGAUAUAGAGGAAAGCCAAUAUUAUAUAUAUAUAACCCAGGAUUUUAAAAGUUCUAAUUUAUUGCAUUCCAUGAAAAAAAAAAGGGAUUUCCAACGGGCGCAAUGCUAACGGAAUAUAUGAUGAUUAUGUUAAAUAGGACGACAUCCAUCUCGAAGUUCGAUGGAAGACUUAAUCAAUAAAACACGUAAUUAAUGAAGGAAAGACAUAAAAGGCCAUACACUACUAUGGUUCUGUGAAGUGAAAAACGAAUUAUGCUGCUGGGGAUUAUACAAGCACAUGAUUUCUGAAAAAAACUUUUUAUACUAAUUUCUCAAUUGGAGGACCUAUUAUGUUGAGCGGGCCAUGAGUUGUUAUCGGAGUUGUUAUCGGAAGGUUUAUUAGGAGAUUUAAUUUUGUCCGUUUCGUUCCAAGGUCUCUUUCUUCUGCGCCAAACAGUUUGUAUUUACAAAGGCCAUCUUUUACUUCUACAGGAUUGCCUUUGUCUUUAUUUUCAUUCGAAAAUAUAAAAAACAAAUAUCUCCCCCUAACCCUAGGUAACUAGGUAAUUAAUUUCCUGUUGACCCUACAGAAACAACCCCCCCCCUCCCCCCGUAAAAGGAAAAGAAGAAAUAGCAAGCUGUAGCCAUUGUGUCCUUAAGCUUGUUUAACAAGAUUCAGUUGACUGCUUCACUUUCAACAACGGUGGCCAUGUUGGAAGUGUGUCUCACUCGCGUCCAGGCGUCGGGUUCCAAGGCUCCGUGAAGGAGCCUUAAAAAAAUACAUGAGAUAUUUCAACUAUUUUUUAGAGCAACUCGACGUCAAAAUAUUUUUUAAGUAAAACUGCAUGAUUUUUUUACAAUAUUUACAAAGAAAAACGGGCGAGCAAAUCGGAGUUCAGAAGUUCUUCUGUAGACACCGCUGGGCUGUCUCUUCUGACACACAUCCCUCUGCCUUCAAUUAAGACGAACGCUUUUGAAUCGUGUUUUUUUUCUGGAGAGAGAACAGAGCGGUCAAUAUUUGACUGAUAUUGACAGCCGGAAAGUAAGGUUAUGAACACUGCCAUUUUAAACCGGACUUGACCUUGUGUGUCUCUCCUUAGCCAGCUCGUGCUAGCUUUGUAGGUUGUAGCUUUUUGGUUUAUCGGGAACAAUAUGUUUGGCUGCCACAGUUAGCCUGAACAGCAAAACAGCAGUCUUUGCUUUGCGUUGCCUUCUCAAAGUGACAAUAGAGAUAGCCAUGUCUUCACUGCCAAUCUUAAUCUUUUCCGUGGCUACCGUUUUUGCACUUGUGUCUUCAAAACCGACAAUAGCUUGUUGACUUCCCCUUCACUCUGGGCUAUCGGUGGGCUUGGAGUCAGGCCGAAUUGCAGGGUAUAAAUGGCGUUAACCCGGGAGUGUACGAUGCUCUCGGUCGGCCAGUGUUACCGUAACACACAAAAGCGUUUUCUUAUUUUCGGGCCGGCAGCAGCAACAACAACAACUGGCGUUUUGUUGGUUAUCGUUGGCGCAUGGAUAGGAAAGCUGAAACAACCCUUAACAGGAAAUGGUAUACGUUAAGCGUUUAUAUUAGUCCAUCGUGUCCUUUUUUGCUACGGGUCAAAUCACUUGCAGUUUAAAAAAGAAAUUGACUAUGUUUUGAUCCAUGAAAAACCAUGAUGUCUCUUACCGUGGAGGACCUUCGUGCGUGUACUCAAUGCUAGCUUCUGGCGGAGUUUCUAAAUGUUUUUCAAUGUUAUUGUGUAGUGGGAUAGCACUAUUAUGAAGAUUAAAAAAAAGAAAAAAAAAGCUACUAUGUCAUUCCAUAGGCGUCUCUGACCGGGGGACUGCUUUGUGUAUCACUGUGACUGCCUUGUGUGCUUAGAAAUGUAGACUUUAUCAGUAGGUAGUCCGCCUGUCCGUUCUGUAGUAAUGUUGUAGCGUUUGACGCCAUCAAAGCCUCCUGUAUUUCCAACUCCCCCCUCUACAUGCAGUCAGAAAGAAGAGCGGCAAGUUGGCCAGGUUGAUAAUACUAGUCUACGCCCACUCCCAGCCCCCCCCCCCCCCCCCCCACCACCACCUAACACCACCACCCAACAAUACCCAACGCCACCACCCCAGAAAACACUCAAUUGAUCAAUUUGAACAAAUUUAAAAAAAGAGCACAUCAUUUGAGGUGGGAAUAUGAGAAUGAGAAUGGGCCGUUUUCACACUGCAUUUUGUUACUGUGUCAUACUUGUAUGCUCAUCCUGUGGUUGAAACAUGGUUGGCGAUGCCCAAUAAUUAAAAUGAGUGAAAGAUUAAUGCAAAUUAAUGAUAAGAACAUUUAGUGAGAGAUGUUUGAUCCUUUGGGUAAAAACAGCACAUGAGGAUUCUUUGCAGUAUGAAGAAGAUCAACUUGCUAAAAAUGCUAUUUUAAAAAGAACAAUUUUGUGUUCAUUUAUUUUUUCUUGGUUCAUUUGCAUAUUUCCCACCAUGCUACAGUUUUUCUCCUUGCACACUGAUCCAGCAUAUGUUGUUUCAGGGAGUUUAAAGAAAACAACCAAAACUAGACGAUUUGGUCUUUGAAUCUCCUUCUCCUUAAAAAAAUAUACUGUGUAUAUAUCUCUCCAUCACGUGUCCAGUAUGUAUAUCUGAACGAAAUAUAAAUGACUGAAUAUACAGUAUCCAUCAGUCUUGCUGUCAUAGUAGUUAUUCAAUCUCCUAGAAAUAUGUUAUUAUAUCUCACCAUACUGCUCGUGUGGUCUCCACCAUGUUUUCCUUUUGUUUUUCAUUCUUAUUGAAUACCCUUUUAUAUUUGAGACAAAACUCUGAAUGUACAGUAUGGCCUGUGUGUUGGUGUAGAUUCUAGAUGGUGUUCAGUCUAGGUGUACUUUGCACUUUUUGUUAUAUAUAUAUUUUUGGUUAAUAUUGUUAUGACAUUUCUUUUGAAAAGCCCCCCCCCCCUCGCUCUAAACAAACAUUUCCACAGCAGUUUCAGUACAUAAAACAACAAAGUGAUGGAUGCAUAUUUGAUUUGACAUGUUUGCUUUAAAUGGGAUAUACUCAGUAUCAGCUUCGGAUAUUAGAUGUGUCGACAUCUCGAACGGCCUAAAUCCCUCGAUAUCAAGUUCUGUCGAACUCCCCACGUAGAAAAUUGUACCUCCGAUAUAUAUAUAUAAUAUAUAUGUGUGCGUGUGUGUGUGUGUGUGUGUGUGUGUGUGUGUGUGUGUGUGUGUGUGUGUGUGUGUGUGUGUGUGUGUGUGUGUGUGUGUGUGUGUGUGUGUAAUCGUUAUCAGGGAAUUCAGUUACGGGCAGCAUUGCAGAACCCAUCGGACCGUGAGGUGUGUGGAACUAUACGACACAACAAAAAAGCCAUUACCUGCACUGAAAUGCAAUGCUACUCUCAUUACGGUUUCCUACCAAAGUACACAAAUGCGUAAUCUAACCGCACGAACCGCUGCUCCCCCCCCCACCCCACCCCUGUACCCACGUCGUCCCUCACCCCCCUCCCACAGGCAAACCUUAUCGACCCACGCGUGCAACCGGGAUCCUCUCGAAAUGGCAAAAGGCCACCGAGCCAAACACUUGACCCUUUCCAAGACAAAGCUGUGUAAAGUAUUAGAAUCUGAUGCUGUAGAACGAUCCUAGUUGCCUUUGUGUAUAUCAACUGCCUGCUUGAGUAUUUGUGUGUGAAAAACCUUUUUCUCUGUAAUCUCUCUGUAGAAACUGUUUGGGGUGUUUUUUCCUCUCUCUCUCUCUCUCUCUCUCUCUCUCUCUCUCUCUCUCUCUCUCUCUCUCCCUCCCGCAGUGAACGCGGGAUGCUGGCGGUUAUCUUUGCUGUGUAUACCUUCCUUUACUUUCUCGACCAGGUGUUUAACUGUUUCGUUUCACUUUGUGUAGUGAUUCACUCUGUGGAGUUUUCUGACUGUUGUUAUAUAACUUCAUAUACACAAAUGAUCAAUAAAAUGUUUUCUUUCCUGUUGAUACAGAAA
Long non-coding RNA from Gadus macrocephalus (Pacific cod), 5062 nucleotides. RefSeq lists it as uncharacterized. The transcript is spliced from 2 exons. The record is from RefSeq and is a predicted model, not a curated record. NCBI's taxonomy places the organism in Eukaryota, Metazoa, Chordata, Actinopteri, Gadiformes, Gadidae.